UAUUAUGGCUCAGGAUGAACGCUAGCUACAGGCUUAACACAUGCAAGUCGAGGGGCAGCGGGAUUGAAGCUUGCUUCAAUUGCCGGCGACCGGCGCACGGGUGAGUAACGCGUAUCCAAUCUUCCGUACACUCAGGGAUAGCCUUUCGAAAGAAAGAUUAAUACCUGAUAGUAUCUUAAGCACACAUGUAAUUAAGAUUAAAGAUUUAUCGGUGUACGAUGGGGAUGCGUUCCAUUAGGUAGUAGGCGGGGUAACGGCCCACCUAGCCAACGAUGGAUAGGGGUUUUGAGAGGAAGGUCCCCCACAUUGGAACUGAGACACGGUCCAAACUCCUACGGGAGGCAGCAGUGAGGAAUAUUGGUCAAUGGACGAGAGUCUGAACCAGCCAAGUAGCGUGAAGGAUGAAGGUCCUACGGAUUGUAAACUUCUUUUAUAAGGGAAUAAACCCUCCCACGUGUGGGAGCUUGUAUGUACCUUAUGAAUAAGCAUCGGCUAACUCCGUGCCAGCAGCCGCGGUAAUACGGAGGAUGCGAGCGUUAUCCGGAUUUAUUGGGUUUAAAGGGAGCGCAGACGGGUCGUUAAGUCAGCUGUGAAAGUUUGGGGCUCAACCUUAAAAUUGCAGUUGAUACUGGCGUCCUUGAGUGCGGUUGAGGUGUGCGGAAUUCGUGGUGUAGCGGUGAAAUGCUUAGAUAUCACGAAGAACUCCGAUUGCGAAGGCAGCACACUAAUCCGUAACUGACGUUCAUGCUCGAAAGUGUGGGUAUCAAACAGGAUUAGAUACCCUGGUAGUCCACACGGUAAACGAUGGAUACUCGCUGUUGGCAAUAUACUGUCAGCGGCUUAGCGAAAGCGUUAAGUAUCCCACCUGGGGAGUACGCCGGCAACGGUGCAACUCAAAUGAAUUGACGGA
This 910-nucleotide ribosomal RNA is filed under the name uncultured Bacteroidota bacterium. RNAcentral's name for it is "bacterial SSU rRNA". It matches the Rfam family "Bacterial small subunit ribosomal RNA", at positions 15 to 917 of the family's 1533-position model. Lineage: Bacteria; Pseudomonadati; Bacteroidota. The record is from RNAcentral.